UUGAAAGGGAAACGAUUGAAGUCAGUCGUACCGACGAGAAAUCAGCUUUUCGAAUGUGCAUUUGUGGGCGUAUGAGAUCUUCAUUGUUUGCAAUAUGUAUAUUUCUUUGGUGUACUUUUUCGUAUGGUAGGUCAACGUCGGUUUUGAUCGCCAUAAAAUGAUCGGAGGAAUGUAGCUUCGGCUUCGGUUGAAGUGUUAUAGCCUUUGGUAAAUGUGGUGAUUAGGACCGAGGAUUGCAACGAAUACCUUUUUGGGCUAUCCGCCUGAUCUCUGAUACGUGGCCUUGGUAUCGAAAGCUUGCUUAUGGUAUUAAGGUAUUACGGUCAAAAGGUUAGAACGGAUUACAUUCGUUAAGGAUGUUGACGUA
This 367-nucleotide ribosomal RNA is filed under the name uncultured Glomeromycotina. Its description in RNAcentral is "LSU rRNA". Lineage: Eukaryota; Fungi; Glomeromycota. The record is from RNAcentral.